This 314-nucleotide ribosomal RNA is filed under the name uncultured bacterium. RNAcentral's name for it is "bacterial SSU rRNA". It matches the Rfam family "Bacterial small subunit ribosomal RNA", at positions 28 to 334 of the family's 1533-position model. The record is from RNAcentral.
GAUGAACGCUAGCGGCAGGCUUAACACAUGCAAGUCGAGGGGCAUCGGGAGGGAAGCUUGCUUUCCUUGCCGGCGACCGGCGCACGGGUGAGUAACACGUAUGCAACCUGCCCUCUUCAGGGGGACAACCUUCCGAAAGGGAGGCUAAUCCCGCGUAUAUCGGUUUCGGGCAUCCGUUAUCGAGGAAAGAUUCAUCGGAAGAGGAUGGGCAUGCGGCGCAUUAGCUAGACGGCGGGGUAACGGCCCACCGUGGCGACGAUGCGUAGGGGUUCUGAGAGGAAGGUCCCCCACACUGGUACUGAGACACGGACCAG